CCUACGGGAGACAGCAGUGAGGAAUAUUGGUCAAUGGACGAGAGUCUGAACCAGCCAAGUAGCGUGAAGGAUGACUGCCCUAUGGGUUGUAAACUUCUUUUAUAUGGGAAUAAAAUGUUCCACGUGUGGGAUUUUGUAUGUACCAUAUGAAUAAGGAUCGGCUAACUCCGUGCCAGCAGCCGCGUUAAUACGGAGGAUCCGAGCGUUAUCCGGAUUUAUUGGGUUUAAAGGGAGCGUAGGUGGAUUGUUAAGUCAGUUGUGAAAGUUUGCGGCUCAACCGUAAAAUUGCAGUUGAAACUGGCAGUCUUGAGUACAGUAGAGGUGGGCGGAAUUCGUGGUGUAGCGGUGAAAUGCUUAGAUAUCACGAAGAACUCCGAUUGCGAAGGCAGUUCACUGGACUGCAACUGACACUGAGGCUCGAAAGUGUGGGUAUCAAACAGGAUUAGAUACCCGUGUAGUC
RNAcentral lists this ribosomal RNA (460 nucleotides) under uncultured bacterium. RNAcentral's name for it is "partial 16S ribosomal RNA". It matches the Rfam family "Bacterial small subunit ribosomal RNA", at positions 338 to 795 of the family's 1533-position model. The record is from RNAcentral.